Molecule: ribosomal RNA, 449 nt
Filed under: uncultured bacterium
Lineage: Bacteria
Description: partial 16S ribosomal RNA
Rfam family: Bacterial small subunit ribosomal RNA
Source: RNAcentral
AACGAACGCUGGCGGCAGGCUUAACACAUGCAAGUCGAACGAGAUCUUCGGGUCUAGUGGCAGACGGGUGAGGAACACGUGGGAACAUCCCUUUCAGUUCGGAAUAACGUUGGGAAACUAACGCUAAUACCGGAUACGUCCUUCGGGAGAAAGAUUUAUCGCUGAAAGAUUGGCCCGCGUCUGAUUAGCUAGUUGGUGAGGUAACGGCUCACCAAGGCUACGAUCAGUAGCAGAUCUGAGAGGAUGAUCAGCCACAUUGGGACUGAGACACGGCCCAAACUCCUACGGGAGGCAGCAGUGGGGAAUAUUGGACAAUGGGCGCAAGCCUGAUCCAGCCAUGCCGCGUGAGUGAUGACGGCCUUCGGGUUGUAAAGCUCUUUUGUCCGGGAAGAUAAUGACUGUACCGGAAGAAUAAGCCCCGGCAAACUUCGUGCCAGCAGCCGCGGUAA